AGGACGAACGCUGGCGGCGUGCCUAAUACAUGCAAGUCGAACGGUCUUUCUAUGGAAGCUUGCUUCCACUGAGGAGAUAGUGGCGAACGGGUGAGUAACACGUGGGUAACCUGCCCAUAAGAGGGGGAUAACAUCCGGAAACGGGUGCUAAUACCGCAUAGUUUUCUUGAUCGCAUGAUCGGGAAAGGAAAGACGGCCUUUGUGCUGUCGCUUAUGGAUGGACCCGCGGCGUAUUAGUUAGUUGGUGAGGUAACGGCUCACCAAGACGAUGAUACGUAGCCGACCUGAGAGGGUGAUCGGCCACAUUGGGACUGAGACACGGCCCAAACUCCUACGGGAGGCAGCAGUAGGGAAUCUUCCGCAAUGGACGAAAGUCUGACGGAGCAACGCCGCGUGAGUGAAAGAAGGUUUUCGGAUCGUAAAACUCUGUUGUCAGAGAAGAACAAGUUGGAGAGUAACUGCUCCAGCCUUGACGGUAUCUGACCAGAAAGCCACGGCUAACUACGUGCCAGCCGCCGC
This 519-nucleotide ribosomal RNA is filed under the name uncultured bacterium. Its description in RNAcentral is "bacterial SSU rRNA". It matches the Rfam family "Bacterial small subunit ribosomal RNA", at positions 26 to 518 of the family's 1533-position model. The record is from RNAcentral.